This 222-nucleotide long non-coding RNA is filed under the name Phoenix dactylifera (date palm). RNAcentral describes it as "long non-coding RNA (PDAC_LNC018220)". The record is from RNAcentral. Lineage: Eukaryota; Viridiplantae; Streptophyta; Magnoliopsida; Arecales; Arecaceae.
GGCGUCUUCCGCAUCCAACUGUGGCAUCGUCUUCAUCCCCGGGUGUUCCGCCAGCGACCACUCCUCUGCUGCAAUCAACGAGCCAUUCCAGCCACGAGACCCACGAAAUCCUCCACGCGUGCAGCCAGCAACCGAGUAGAAGACCAAUCUCCUCCAUGUUCCACACAGUGCACCAGCGCCAUCAGCCCGUUCCAGCCGCAUCAACCGCGUGCCCACCGCAUC